GAAAAGGGGAAUUCCCAGUGUAGCCGUGAAAUGCUUAGAGAUUUGGGGGAACACCAGGGGGGAAGGCGACUUUUUUGGUCUGUAACUGACACUGAGGCGCGAAAGUGUGGGGAGGAAAAAGUGAUUAGAUACCCUGGUGGUCCUCGCCGUAUACGAUGAGUGCUAAGUGUUAGAGGGUUUUCGCCCUUUAUUGUUGCAGCUAACGCAUUAAGCACUCCGCCUGGGGAGUACGGCCGCAAGGCUGAAACUCAAAGGAAUUGACGGGGGCCCGCACAAGCGGUGGAGCAUGUGGUUUAUUUCGAAGCAACGCGAAGAACCUUACCAGGUCUUGACAUCCUCUGACAACCCUAGAGAUAGGGCUUUUUCCUUCGGGGGACAGAGUGACAGGUGGUGCAUGGUCGUCGUCAGCUCGUGUCGUGAGAUGUUGGGUUAAGUCCCGCAACGAGCGCAACCCUUGAUCUUAGUUGCCAGCAUUCAGUUGGGCACUCUAAGGUGACUGCCGGUGACAAACCGGAGGAAGGUGGGGAUGACGUCAAAUCAUCAUGCCCCUUAUGACCUGGGCUACACACGUGCUACAAUGGAUGGUACAAAGGGCUGCAAACCUGCGAAGGUAAGCGAAUCCCAUAAAGCCAUUCUCAGUUCGGAUUGCAGGCUGCAACUCGCCUGCAUGAAGCCGGAAUCGCUAGUAAUCGCGGAUCAGCAUGCCGCGGUGAAUACGUUCCCGGGCCUUGUACACACCGCCCGUCACACCACGAGAGUUUGUAACACCCGAAGUCGGUGAGGUAACCUUCAUGGAGCCAGCCGCCUAAG
Molecule: ribosomal RNA, 810 nt
Filed under: Peribacillus sp.
Lineage: Bacteria; Bacillati; Bacillota; Bacilli; Caryophanales; Bacillaceae
Description: bacterial SSU rRNA
Rfam family: Bacterial small subunit ribosomal RNA
Source: RNAcentral